AGUAAUCGAAGAGGUCGCAAGCGAGAUUAGUAGAUAAAGUCAGUCACUGCAAUGACUAUGAGCUUUAUUGAAAGGUGAACUUGCCGAAGUUAAUGAUUUUUUGCAGAGAUCAUUUUCUGGGACGUGUGUGAAGAAUGCACGGACUGUCACAAGAAAAUAUGUCUUGUGGAGCGCUUUCGACAAUU
Molecule: regulatory RNA element, 185 nt
Rfam family: Lysine riboswitch aptamer
About the family: Riboswitches are metabolite binding domains within certain messenger RNAs that serve as precision sensors for their corresponding targets. Allosteric rearrangement of mRNA structure is mediated by ligand binding, and this results in modulation of gene expression. This family includes riboswitches that sense lysine in a number of genes involved in lysine metabolism, including lysC.
Source: Rfam